Molecule: unclassified non-coding RNA, 122 nt
Filed under: Schizosaccharomyces pombe (fission yeast)
Lineage: Eukaryota; Fungi; Ascomycota; Schizosaccharomycetes; Schizosaccharomycetales; Schizosaccharomycetaceae
Description: non-coding RNA (predicted)
Source: RNAcentral
GUAUAAUACACAAGACAUUUAGGCAAUUGAGUUACAUUAGGACCGCAAGAAAGCGUCAAAUAGAUAAUUAAAAUGAUAAUGAAUUUUGGGUUUUCGACAGAAAACAAAAAAGCGAGCAAGAA